This is a non-coding RNA of Trematosphaeria pertusa, 98 nucleotides long. Lineage: Eukaryota; Fungi; Ascomycota; Dothideomycetes; Pleosporales; Trematosphaeriaceae. The record is from the annotation of a RefSeq genome assembly.
GACAACGUGCCAGAGUGGUUAAUGGGUAUGACUCGAACGCUCCCGCUACUAGAUAUCAUAUGGCUUCGGCCGCACAGGUUCGAAUCCUGUCGUUGUCG